GUUUGUUUAAAAGGGAACAUGCAGUGCAAGAUGUAUCUGCUGCUCGCUCUGUUCAUCAGUUUUCACCGUGUGAAAUCGCAAACUAUCCGUCAGACUCCGGCCGCAGACUCCAAACUUCAUGGAGAGAGUGCGGAAAUAAAAUGCACGAUGGAGGAAGCAGGACAAUUUCGUAUGUACUGGUACAGACAAGCCCCAGGAAAGGAGCUGCAGCUGAUGUUUCACUCGUUGCUUGCACCAAGUGUGAGUGAAGAGGCGGCCGCUGACGGUUUCACCGCCGAGCGACCGAAUGACUCGACGUUUAUCCUAAAGUCCCUUAGCCUGCAGGCGAAUCAUUCGGCUGUUUAUUACUGCGCCUGGAGUAUUCACAGUGGCUCAGAGAGAUGGAGCUCAACAACAAAAAGCUCAAAGGCAGCAGAAAAUAAUUUUGAAGGAUAA
This is a non-coding RNA of Stegostoma tigrinum, 435 nucleotides long. NCBI's taxonomy places the organism in Eukaryota, Metazoa, Chordata, Chondrichthyes, Orectolobiformes, Stegostomatidae. The record is from the annotation of a RefSeq genome assembly.